RNAcentral lists this ribosomal RNA (453 nucleotides) under uncultured bacterium. RNAcentral describes it as "bacterial SSU rRNA". It matches the Rfam family "Bacterial small subunit ribosomal RNA", at positions 29 to 524 of the family's 1533-position model. The record is from RNAcentral.
AACGAACGCUGGCGGCAUGCCUAACACAUGCAAGUCGAACGAGACCUUCGGGUCUAGUGGCGCACGGGUGCGUAACGCGUGGGAACCUGCCUUUAGGUUCGGAAUAACUCAGAGAAAUUUGAGCUAAUACCGGAUAAUGUCUUCGGACCAAAGAUUUAUCGCCUUUAGAUGGGCCCGCGUAAGAUUAGCUAGUUGGUGGGGUAAAGGCCUACCAAGGCGACGAUCUUUAGCUGGUCUGAGAGGAUGAUCAGCCACACUGGGACUGAGACACGGCCCAGACUCCUACGGGAGGCAGCAGUGGGGAAUAUUGGACAAUGGGCGAAAGCCUGAUCCAGCAAUGCCGCGUGAGUGAUGAAGGCCUUAGGGUUGUAAAGCUCUUUUACCCGUAGAUGAUAAUGACAGUAUCGGGAGAAUAAGACUCCGGCUAACUCCGUAGCCAGCAGCCGCGGUAAU